RNAcentral lists this ribosomal RNA (433 nucleotides) under uncultured bacterium. Its description in RNAcentral is "partial 16S ribosomal RNA". It matches the Rfam family "Bacterial small subunit ribosomal RNA", at positions 29 to 507 of the family's 1533-position model. The record is from RNAcentral.
AACGAACGCUGGCGGCAUGCCUAACACAUGCAAGUCGAACGAGACCUUCGGGUCUAGUGUCGCACGGGUGCGUAACGCGUGUGAACCUGCCCUUAUGUUCGGAAUAACUCCCCGAAAGGGGUUCUAAUACCGCCUAAUGUCUUCGGACCAAAGAUUUAUCGCCUUUGGAUGGGCCCGCGUUGGAUUUGAUUGUUGGUAGGGUAACAGCCUACCAAGGCGACGAUCCAUAGAUGGUCAGAGAGGAUGAUCAGACACACUGGGACUGAGACACGGCCCAGAAUCCUACGGGAGGCAGCAGUGGGGAAUAUUGGAAAAUGGGGGAAAGCAUGAUCCAGCAAGGCAGGGUGAGUGAUGAAGGCCUUAGGGUUGUAAAGCUCUUUUAACCGGGAUGAUAAUGACAGUACUGGGAGAAUAAGCCCCGGCUAACUACGUG